GCUUCCGUGGCGCAAUGGUAGCGCGUCAGACUUCUAAUCUGAAGGUUGCGGGUUCGAGUCCCGCCGGAAGUG
RNAcentral lists this transfer RNA (72 nucleotides) under Coccidioides posadasii C735 delta SOWgp. Its description in RNAcentral is "tRNA-Arg (TCT) (tRNA-Arg-TCT-1-1)". It matches the Rfam family "tRNA". Rfam says of the family: Transfer RNA (tRNA) molecules are approximately 80 nucleotides in length. Their secondary structure includes four short double-helical elements and three loops (D, anti-codon, and T loops). The record is from RNAcentral. RNAcentral also lists the same sequence under 13 other names. Lineage: Eukaryota; Fungi; Ascomycota; Eurotiomycetes; Onygenales; Onygenaceae.